This 474-nucleotide ribosomal RNA is filed under the name uncultured bacterium. RNAcentral's name for it is "SSU rRNA". It matches the Rfam family "Bacterial small subunit ribosomal RNA", at positions 26 to 518 of the family's 1533-position model. The record is from RNAcentral.
AGGACGAACGCUGGCGGCGUGCUUAACACAUGCAAGUCGAGCGGAAAGGCCCUUCGGGGUACUCGAGCGGCGAACGGGUGAGUAACACGUGAGUAAUCUGCCCCUAGCUCUGGGAUAGCUCCGGGAAACCGGGAUUAAUACCGGAUACGACCACCUUAGACAUCUUUUGUGGUGGAAAGAAUUUCGGCUAGGGAUGAGCUCGCGGCCUAUCAGCUUGUUGGUGGGGUAACGCCUACCAAGGCGACGACGGGUAGCCGGCCUGAGAGGGCGACCGGCCACACUGGGACUGAGACACGGCCCAGACUCCUACGGGAGGCAGCAGUGGGGAAUAUUGCGCAAUGGGCGAAAGCCUGACGCAGCGACGCCGCGUGGGGGAUGAAGGCCUUCGGGUUGUAAACCCCGUUUCAGCAGGGACGAAGCGAAAGUGACGGUACCUGCAGAAGAAGCGCCGGCUAACUACGCGCCAGCAGCCGC